RNAcentral lists this ribosomal RNA (392 nucleotides) under uncultured crenarchaeote. Its description in RNAcentral is "bacterial SSU rRNA". It matches the Rfam family "Archaeal small subunit ribosomal RNA", at positions 274 to 668 of the family's 1478-position model. Lineage: Archaea; Thermoproteati; Thermoproteota. The record is from RNAcentral.
CCGUGAGAGCGGGAGCCCGGAGAUGGUCCCUGAGGCAAGGGUCCAGGCCCUACGGGGCGCAGCAGGCGCGAAAACUCCGCAAUGCGCGAAAGCGUGACGGGGUCACCCCGAGUGCCACCUGCAGAAGGUGGCUUUUCCUCGGUGUAAUAAGCCGUGGGAAUAAGGGGAGGGCAAGCCUGGUGUCAGCCGCCGCGGUAAUACCAGCUCCCCGAGUGGUGAGGACGAUUAUUGGGCCUAAAGCAUCCGUAGCCGGUCUGGUAAGUUUUCCGUUAAAUCUGGCGAUCCAAUCGUCAGACUGCGGGAAAUACUGUCAGACUAGGAGGCGGAAGAGGCCGACGGUACUCUUAGGGUAGGGGUGAAAUCCUAUAAUCCUGAGAGGACCACCAGUGGCG